RNAcentral lists this ribosomal RNA (1346 nucleotides) under uncultured bacterium. RNAcentral's name for it is "partial 16S ribosomal RNA". It matches the Rfam family "Bacterial small subunit ribosomal RNA", at positions 28 to 1381 of the family's 1533-position model. The record is from RNAcentral.
GACGAACGCUGGCGGCGUGCUUAACACAUGCAAGUCGAACGGAAAGGCCCUGCUUUUGUGGGGUGCUCGAGUGGCGAACGGGUGAGUAACACGUGAGUAACCUGCCCUUGACUUUGGGAUAACUUCAGGAAACUGGGGCUAAUACCGGAUAGGAGCUCCUGCUGCAUGGUGGGGGUUGGAAAGUUUCGGCGGUUGGGGAUGGACUCGCGGCUUAUCAGCUUGUUGGUGGGGUAGUGGCUUACCAAGGCUUUGACGGGUAGCCGGCCUGAGAGGGUGACCGGCCACAUUGGGACUGAGAUACGGCCCAGACUCCUACGGGAGGCAGCAGUGGGGAAUAUUGCACAAUGGGCGGAAGCCUGAUGCAGCAACGCCGCGUGCGGGAUGACGGCCUUCGGGUUGUAAACCGCUUUCGCCUGUGACGAAGCGUGAGUGACGGUAAUGGGUAAAGAAGCACCGGCUAACUACGUGCCAGCAGCCGCGGUGAUACGUAGGGUGCGAGCGUUGUCCGGAUUUAUUGGGCGUAAAGGGCUCGUAGGUGGUUGAUCGCGUCGGAAGUGUAAUCUUGGGGCUUAACCCUGAGCGUGCUUUCGAUACGGGUUGACUUGAGGAAGGUAGGGGAGAAUGGAGUUCCUGGUGGAGCGGUGGAAUGCGCAGAUAUCAGGAGGAACACCAGUGGCGAAGGCGGUUCUCUGGGCCUUUCCUGACGCUGAGGAGCGAAAGCGUGGGGAGCGAACAGGCUUAGAUACCCUGGUAGUCCACGCUGUAAACGGUGGGUACUAGGUGUGGGGUCCAUUCCACGGGUUCCGUGCCGUAGCUAACGCUUUAAGUACCCCGCCUGGGGAGUACGGCCGCAAGGCUAAAACUCAAAGGAAUUGACGGGGCCCCGCACAAGCGGCGGAGCAUGCGGAUUAAUUCGAUGCAACGCGUAGAGCCUUACCUGGGUUUGACAUGGAUCGGGAGUGCUCAGAGAUGGGUGUGCCUCUUUUGGGGUCGGUUCACAGGUGGUGCAUGGCUGUCGUCAGCUCGUGUCGUGAGAUGUUGGGUUAAGUCCCGCAACGAGCGCAACCCUUGUUCACUGUUGCCAGCACGUUAUGGUGGGGACUCAGUGGAGACCGCCGGGGUCAACUCGGAGGAAGGUGGGGAUGACGUCAAGUCAUCAUGCCCCUUAUGUCCAGGGCUUCACGCAUGCUACAAUGGCUGGUACAGAGAGUGGCGAGCCUGUGAGGGUGAGCGAAUCUCGGAAAGCCGGUCUCAGUUCGGAUUGGGGUCUGCAACUCGACCUCAUGAAGUCGGAGUCGCUAGUAAUCGCAGAUCAGCAACGCUGCGGUGAAUACGUUCCCGGGGCU